This 62-nucleotide transfer RNA is filed under the name Camelus bactrianus (Bactrian camel). It matches the Rfam family "tRNA". From Rfam's summary of the family: Transfer RNA (tRNA) molecules are approximately 80 nucleotides in length. Their secondary structure includes four short double-helical elements and three loops (D, anti-codon, and T loops). Lineage: Eukaryota; Metazoa; Chordata; Mammalia; Artiodactyla; Camelidae. RNAcentral also lists the same sequence under 2 other names. The record is from Rfam by way of RNAcentral.
GUGGGUAUAGCUCAGUGGUAGAGCACAUGCUCGAGUCCUGGGUUCAAUACCCAGUACCACCA